Molecule: ribosomal RNA, 530 nt
Filed under: Alternaria angustiovoidea
Lineage: Eukaryota; Fungi; Ascomycota; Dothideomycetes; Pleosporales; Pleosporaceae
Description: partial large subunit ribosomal RNA
Rfam family: Eukaryotic large subunit ribosomal RNA
Source: RNAcentral
AAUCUGGCUCUUUUAGAGUCCGAGUUGUAAUUUGCAGAGGGCGCUUUGGCUUUGGCAGCGGUCCAAGUUCCUUGGAACAGGACGUCACAGAGGGUGAGAAUCCCGUACGUGGUCGCUGGCUAUUGCCGUGUAAAGCCCCUUCGACGAGUCGAGUUGUUUGGGAAUGCAGCUCUAAAUGGGAGGUACAUUUCUUCUAAAGCUAAAUAUUGGCCAGAGACCGAUAGCGCACAAGUAGAGUGAUCGAAAGAUGAAAAGCACUUUGGAAAGAGAGUCAAACAGCACGUGAAAUUGUUGAAAGGGAAGCGCUUGCAGCCAGACUUGCUUACAGUUGCUCAUCCGGGUUUCUACCCGGUGCACUCUUCUGUAGGCAGGCCAGCAUCAGUUUGGGCGGUAGGAUAAAGGUCUCUGUCACGUACCUCCUUUCGGGGAGGCCUUAUAGGGGAGACGACAUACUACCAGCCUGGACUGAGGUCCGCGCAUCUGCUAGGAUGCUGGCGUAAUGGCUGUAAGCGGCCCGUCUUGAAAAACGG